Molecule: ribosomal RNA, 902 nt
Filed under: uncultured organism
Description: bacterial SSU rRNA
Rfam family: Bacterial small subunit ribosomal RNA
Source: RNAcentral
UGGAUCCAGACUUGAUCAUGGCUCAGGACGAACGCUGGCGACGCGCCUAACACAUGCAAGUCGAACGAGAGAAAGGGAGCUUGCUUCCUUGAUCGAGUGGCGGACGGGUGAGUAACGCGUGAGGAACCUGCCUCAAAGAGGGGGACAACAGUUGGAAACGACUGCUAAUACCGCAUAAGCCCACGGCUCGGCAUCGAGCAGAGGGAAAAGGAGCAAUCCGCUUUGAGAUGGCCUCGCGUCCGAUUAGCUAGUUGGUGAGGUAAUGGCCCACCAAGGCAACGAUCGGUAGCCGGACUGAGAGGUUGAACGGCCACAUUGGGACUGAGACACGGCCCAGACUCCUACGGGAGGCAGCAGUGGGGAAUAUUGCACAAUGGGGGAAACCCUGAUGCAGCGACGCCGCGUGGAGGAAGAAGGUCUUCGGAUUGUAAACUCCUGUUGUUGAGGAAGAUAAUGACGGUACUCAACAAGGAAGUGACGGCUAACUACGUGCCAGCAGCCGCGGUAAAACGUAGGUCACAAGCGUUGUCCGGAAUUACUGGGUGUAAAGGGAGCGCAGGCGGGCGAUCAAGUUGGAAGUGAAAUCCAUGGGCUCAACCCAUGAACUGCUUUCAAAACUGAUUGUCUUGAGUAGUGCAGAGGUAGGCGGAAUUCCCGGUGUAGCGGUGGAAUGCGUAGAUAUCGGGAGGAACACCAGUGGCGAAGGCGGCCUACUGGGCACCAACUGACGCUGAGGCUCGAAAGUGUGGGUAGCAAACAGGAUUAGAUACCCUGGUAGUCCACACCGUAAACGAUGAUUACUAGGUGUUGGAGGAUUGACCCCUUCAGUGCCGCAGUUAACACAAUAAGUAAUCCACCUGGGGAGUACGACCGCAAGGUUGCAACUCAAAGGAAUUGACGGA